GGAGAUAGCUCAGUUGGUAGAGUGUAUGCCUUGUGUGCAAAGGGCCCUGGGUUCAAUCCCCAACACCA
RNAcentral lists this transfer RNA (68 nucleotides) under Marmota monax (woodchuck). Its description in RNAcentral is "tRNA.Thr". It matches the Rfam family "tRNA". From Rfam's summary of the family: Transfer RNA (tRNA) molecules are approximately 80 nucleotides in length. Lineage: Eukaryota; Metazoa; Chordata; Mammalia; Rodentia; Sciuridae. The record is from RNAcentral.